RNAcentral lists this ribosomal RNA (492 nucleotides) under uncultured bacterium. Its description in RNAcentral is "partial 16S ribosomal RNA". It matches the Rfam family "Bacterial small subunit ribosomal RNA", at positions 29 to 507 of the family's 1533-position model. The record is from RNAcentral.
AGUGAACGCUGGCGGUAGGCCUAACACAUGCAAGUCGAACGGCCGCACAGUAAGAGCUUGCUCUUACGGGUGGCGCGUGGCGGACGGGUGCGGAAUACAUCGGAAUCUACUUUUUCAUGUGGGCUAACGUCGGGAAACUUCCGCUAAUACCGCAUACGACCUACGGGUGAAAGCAGGGGAUCUUCGGACCUUGCGCGAUUGAAUGAGCCGAUGUCGGAUUAGCUAGUUGGCGGGGUAAAGGCCUACCAAGGCGACGAUCCGUAGCUGGUCUGAGGGGAUGAUCAGGCAGACUGGAACUGAGACAGGGUCCAGACACCGACGGGAGGCAGCAGUGGGGAAUACUGGGCGAGGGGGGCAAGGCGGAUCCAGCCAUACGGCGGGAGUGAAGAAGGACUCAGGGUGGGAGAGUCCUUUUGGUGUGAAAGAAGAGCAGCAGUUUAAUCCCCCGCGGUUCUGACGGUACCCAAAGAAUAAGCACCGGCUAACUUCGUG